AUUGAACGCUGGCGGUAGGCCUAACACAUGCAAGUCGAACGAGUGGCGGACGGGUGAGGAAUACAUCGGAAUCUACUCUGUCGGGGGGGAUCACGUAGGGAAACUUAAGCUAAUACCGCAUACGAUUGAAUGAGCCGAUGUCGGAUUAGCUAGUUGGCGGUGUAAAGGCCCAACAAGGCGACGAUCCGUAGCUGGUCUGAGAGGAGUAUCAGCCACACUGGAACUGAGACACGGUCCAGACUCCUACGGUAGGGAGCAGUGGGGAAUAUUGGACAAGGGGCGCAAGCCUGAUCCAGCCAUACCGCGUGGGUGAAGAAGGCCUUCGGGUUGUAAAGCCCUUUUGUUGGGAAAGCGGUACCCAAAGAAUAAGCACCGGCUAACUCCGUGCCAGCAGCCGCGGUAAUUC
RNAcentral lists this ribosomal RNA (406 nucleotides) under uncultured bacterium. RNAcentral describes it as "partial 16S ribosomal RNA". It matches the Rfam family "Bacterial small subunit ribosomal RNA", at positions 30 to 526 of the family's 1533-position model. The record is from RNAcentral.